CAAUAUGAAAGCGGGCUGGCAUCCUUCGGGGUUACAGCCUUGCUGAAUUAUUCACCCGUGUCUUUUGCGUACUUCUUGUUUCCUUGGUGGGUUCGCCCACCAUAGGACAAACCAUAAACCUUUUGUAAUUGCAAUCAGCGUCAGUAAAAAAAUUAAUAAUUACAACUUUUAACAACGGAUCUCUUGGUUCU
Molecule: unclassified non-coding RNA, 191 nt
Filed under: rhizosphere metagenome
Description: partial ribosomal RNA internal transcribed spacer region
Source: RNAcentral